Molecule: transfer RNA, 69 nt
Organism: Ovis aries (sheep)
Lineage: Eukaryota; Metazoa; Chordata; Mammalia; Artiodactyla; Bovidae
Rfam family: tRNA
About the family: Transfer RNA (tRNA) molecules are approximately 80 nucleotides in length. Their secondary structure includes four short double-helical elements and three loops (D, anti-codon, and T loops).
Source: Rfam
CCUGGUGGCUCAGAGGUUAAAGCGUCUGCCUGCAAUGCGGGAGACCUGGGUUCAAUCCCUGGGUCAGGA